This 609-nucleotide ribosomal RNA is filed under the name Nocardiopsis alba. RNAcentral describes it as "bacterial SSU rRNA". It matches the Rfam family "Bacterial small subunit ribosomal RNA", at positions 273 to 879 of the family's 1533-position model. Lineage: Bacteria; Bacillati; Actinomycetota; Actinomycetes; Streptosporangiales; Nocardiopsidaceae. The record is from RNAcentral.
GCGAUUACGGGUAGCCGGCCUGAGAGGGCGACCGGCCACACUGGGACUGAGACACGGCCCAGACUCCUGCGGGAGGCAGCAGUGGGGAAUAUUGCGCAAUGGGCGAAAGCCUGACGCAGCGACGCCGCGUGGGGGAUGACGGCCUUCGGGUUGUAAACCUCUUUUACCACCAACGCAGGCUCCGGGUUCUCUCGGGGUUGACGGUAGGUGGGGAAUAAGGACCGGCUAACUACGUGCCAGCAGCCGCGGUAAUACGUAGGGUCCGAGCGUUGUCCGGAAUUAUUGGGCGUAAAGAGCUCGUAGGCGGCGUGUCGCGUCUGCUGUGAAAGACCGGGGCUUAACUCCGGUUCUGCAGUGGAUACGGGCAUGCUAGAGGUAGGUAGGGGAGACUGGAAUUCCUGGUGUAGCGGUGAAAUGCGCAGAUAUCAGGAGGAACACCGGUGGCGAAGGCGGGUCUCUGGGCCUUACCUGACGCUGAGGAGCGAAAGCAUGGGGAGCGAACAGGAUUAGAUACCCUGGUAGUCCAUGCCGUAAACGUUGGGCGCUAGGUGUGGGGACUUUCCACGGUUUCCGCGCCGUAGCUAACGCAUUAAGCGCCCCGCCUGGGGA